RNAcentral lists this ribosomal RNA (673 nucleotides) under Microbacterium oxydans. RNAcentral's name for it is "bacterial SSU rRNA". It matches the Rfam family "Bacterial small subunit ribosomal RNA", at positions 82 to 769 of the family's 1533-position model. Lineage: Bacteria; Bacillati; Actinomycetota; Actinomycetes; Micrococcales; Microbacteriaceae. The record is from RNAcentral.
CUCUGUGGGAUCAGUGGCGAACGGGUGAGUAACACGUGAGCAACCUGCCCCUGACUCUGGGAUAAGCGCUGGAAACGGCGUCUAAUACUGGAUAUGUGACGUGACCGCAUGGUCUGCGUCUGGAAAGAAUUUCGGUUGGGGAUGGGCUCGCGGCCUAUCAGCUUGUUGGUGAGGUAAUGGCUCACCAAGGCGUCGACGGGUAGCCGGCCUGAGAGGGUGACCGGCCACACUGGGACUGAGACACGGCCCAGACUCCUACGGGAGGCAGCAGUGGGGAAUAUUGCACAAUGGGCGCAAGCCUGAUGCAGCAACGCCGCGUGAGGGACGACGGCCUUCGGGUUGUAAACCUCUUUUAGCAGGGAAGAAGCGAAAGUGACGGUACCUGCAGAAAAAGCGCCGGCUAACUACGUGCCAGCAGCCGCGGUAAUACGUAGGGCGCAAGCGUUAUCCGGAAUUAUUGGGCGUAAAGAGCUCGUAGGCGGUUUGUCGCGUCUGCUGUGAAAUCCGGAGGCUCAACCUCCGGCCUGCAGUGGGUACGGGCAGACUAUAGUGCGGUAGGGGAGAUUGGAAUUCCUGGUGUAGCGGUGGAAUGCGCAGAUAUCAGGAGGAACACCGAUGGCGAAGGCAGAUCUCUGGGCCGUAACUGACGCUGAAGAGCGAAAGGGUGGGGGAG